Molecule: ribosomal RNA, 541 nt
Filed under: Klebsiella aerogenes
Lineage: Bacteria; Pseudomonadati; Pseudomonadota; Gammaproteobacteria; Enterobacterales; Enterobacteriaceae
Description: partial 23S ribosomal RNA
Rfam family: Bacterial large subunit ribosomal RNA
Source: RNAcentral
GUGGGUAGUUUGACUGGGGCGGUCUCCUCCCAAAGAGUAACGGAGGAGCACGAAGGUUAGCUAAUCCUGGUCGGACAUCAGGAGGUUAGUGCAAUGGCAUAAGCUAGCUUGACUGCGAGCGUGACGGCGCGAGCAGGUGCGAAAGCAGGUCAUAGUGAUCCGGUGGUUCUGAAUGGAAGGGCCAUCGCUCAACGGAUAAAAGGUACUCCGGGGAUAACAGGCUGAUACCGCCCAAGAGUUCAUAUCGACGGCGGUGUUUGGCACCUCGAUGUCGGCUCAUCACAUCCUGGGGCUGAAGUAGGUCCCAAGGGUAUGGCUGUUCGCCAUUUAAAGUGGUACGCGAGCUGGGUUUAGAACGUCGUGAGACAGUUCGGUCCCUAUCUGCCGUGGGCGCUGGAGAAUUGAGGGGGGCUGCUCCUAGUACGAGAGGACCGGAGUGGACGCAUCACUGGUGUUCGGGUUGUCAUGCCAAUGGCAUUGCCCGGUAGCUAAAUGCGGAAGAGAUAAGUGCUGAAAGCAUCUAAGCACGAAACUUGCCCCG